Molecule: ribosomal RNA, 459 nt
Filed under: uncultured bacterium
Lineage: Bacteria
Description: partial 16S ribosomal RNA
Rfam family: Bacterial small subunit ribosomal RNA
Source: RNAcentral
CCUACGGGAGGCUGCAGUGAGGAAUAUUGGUCAAUGGGCGAGAGCCUGAACCAGCCAAGUCGCGUGAGGGAGUACUGCCCUAUGGGUUGUAAACCUCUUUUGUCGGGGAGCAAAAGCCGGACGUGUCCGGCUGUGAGAGUACCCGAAGAAAAAGCAUCGGCUAACUCCGUUCCAGCAGCCGCGGUCAUACGGAGGAUGCGAGCGUUAUCCGGAUUUAUUGGGUUUAAAGGGUGCGCAGGCGGGAUUUUAAGUCAGGCGGUAAAUCCGUGGGCCUAACCCCAUCCCAGCCUUGGAAACUGGGGAUCUAGAGUGUGCGAGAGGUAUGCGGAAUGCGUGGUGUAGCGGUGAAAUGCGUAGAUAUCACGCAGAACCCCGAUGGCGAAGGCAGCAUGCUGGUGCACAACUGACGCUCAGGCACGAAAGCGUGGGUAUCGAACAGGAUUAGAUACCCUUGUAGUC